AGAAACUUAAAAAAAAAAAAAUCAAAUAGCCUACUUUUUAAACAACUUAGGAUUUCAUAAAAUUAAGGCAAAAUUACUAUUUAAUCCCUAAAUUUUAAAGAAAUUAACUAUUAGUCCCUUUAUUUUGAAAAAUACAAUAUUUAGUCCCCCUAUUGUUAUUCUUAAAUUGUUUAGUCCCUCCCGUUAACUUUUCUGUUAGUGAAAUUACUUUAAAGAAAAUUUUUUUUCCUUACUUAACUAUUCAGUCCCUAUAAUUUAAAUAAUAUAACUAUUUAAUCCUUGUAAUUUUAAAUCAAUCAACUAUUCAGUCCAUCUAAUUUGAAUAAUACAACUAUUGUCUCUCCUUUUACUAACUUGACUAACAGAAAAGUUAAUAUGAGAGACGAAAUAGUUUAUUGACUAAAAAUAUGUUGACUAAAUCGUAUAUUUUUCAAAA
RNAcentral lists this unclassified non-coding RNA (436 nucleotides) under Hevea brasiliensis (rubber tree). Lineage: Eukaryota; Viridiplantae; Streptophyta; Magnoliopsida; Malpighiales; Euphorbiaceae. The record is from RNAcentral.